RNAcentral lists this ribosomal RNA (478 nucleotides) under uncultured bacterium. RNAcentral's name for it is "partial 16S ribosomal RNA". It matches the Rfam family "Bacterial small subunit ribosomal RNA", at positions 28 to 523 of the family's 1533-position model. The record is from RNAcentral.
GACGAACGCUAGCGGCGUGCUUAACACAUGCAAGUCGAACGGUAAGGCCCUUCGGGGUACACGAGUGGCGAACGGGUGAGUAACACGUGGGUGAUCUGCCCUGCACUUCGGGAUAAGCCUGGGAAACUGGGUCUAAUACCGGAUAGGACCACUGCCUGCAUGGGUGGUGGUGGGAAGCUUUUGCGGUGUGGGAUGGGCCCGCGGCCUAUCAGCUUGUUGGUGGGGUGAUGGCCUACCAAGGCGACGACGGGUAGCCGGCCUGAGAGGGUGACCGGCCACACUGGGACUGAGAUACGGCCCAGACUCCUACGGGAGGCAGCAGUGGGGAAUAUUGCACAAUGGGCGCAAGCCUGAUGCGGCGACGCCGCGUGAGGGAUGACGGCCUUCGGGUUGUAAACCUCUUUCAGCACCGACGAAGCGCAAGUGACGGUAGGUGCAGAAGAAGGACCGGCCAACUACGUGCCAGCCGCCGCCGCGG